Molecule: ribosomal RNA, 430 nt
Filed under: Acidobacteriota bacterium
Lineage: Bacteria; Pseudomonadati; Acidobacteriota
Description: Acidobacteria bacterium partial 16S ribosomal RNA
Rfam family: Bacterial small subunit ribosomal RNA
Source: RNAcentral
UGGGGAAUAUUAGACAAUGGGCGAAAGCCUGAUCCAGCCAUGCCGCGUGUGUGAAGAAGGCCUUUUGGUUGUAAAGCACUUUAAGCGAGGAGGAGGCUACUUGGAUUAAUACUGUAGGAUAGUGGACGUUACUCGCAGAAUAAGCACCGGCUAACUCUGUGCCAGCAGCCGCGGUAAUACAGAGGGUGCGAGCGUUAAUCGGAUUUACUGGGCGUAAAGCGUGCGUAGGCGGCUUUUUAAGUCGGAUGUGAAAUCCCUGAGCUUAACUUAGGAAUUGCAUUCGAUACUGGGAAGCUAGAGUAUGGAAGAGGAUGGUAGAAUUCCAGGUGUAGCGGUGAAAUGCGUAGAGAUCUGGAGGAAUACCGAUGGCGAAGGCAGCCAUCUGGCCUAAUACUGACGCUGAGGUACGAAAGCAUGGGGAGCAAACAGG